UACGGAGGGUGCAAGCGUUGUUCGGAAUUAUUGGGCGUAAAGGGCAGGUAGGUGGUCCCAAAAGGCUACUGUGAAAUCCCCGGGCUUAACCUGGGAACCGCAUUUGUGACUGCAUAGCUGGAGUACGGCAGAGGGGGAUGGAAUUCCGCGUGUAGCAGUGAAAUGCGUAGAUAUGCGGAGGAACACCGAUGGCGAAGGCAGUCCCCUGGGCCUGUACUGACGCUAAUGCACGAAAGCGUGGGGAGCAAACAGG
Molecule: ribosomal RNA, 253 nt
Filed under: uncultured bacterium
Lineage: Bacteria
Description: partial 16S ribosomal RNA
Rfam family: Bacterial small subunit ribosomal RNA
Source: RNAcentral